CGGAAAUGAUAUCUCCUCAAAUUCAAUAAAGUUGUGCCAUUCAUUGUAAUAACUGCCAGUCACAGGACAUCAUCACUGAAGGAGGCAGCAAGCAUAUGACUGUACCAGGGAUCUGUGUUGCAGGGUCAAAGAUGGUGUCGCUGUGGUUUCAACUGGUCACCAGCAGAGCAGAACGUCAGACCGGCAGUCACAGGUGCAGCAGCAAAAAAUAAUUUUUGCAUUCCCAGUGAUAAGGACUUCCACUGUGAAUGAAUGGAAGAAGUUCAGGGAGUUCAUCU
Long non-coding RNA from Xiphias gladius (swordfish), 278 nucleotides. RefSeq lists it as uncharacterized. The transcript is spliced from 3 exons. The record is from RefSeq and is a predicted model, not a curated record. NCBI's taxonomy places the organism in Eukaryota, Metazoa, Chordata, Actinopteri, Istiophoriformes, Xiphiidae.